Molecule: ribosomal RNA, 397 nt
Filed under: uncultured bacterium
Lineage: Bacteria
Description: bacterial SSU rRNA
Rfam family: Bacterial small subunit ribosomal RNA
Source: RNAcentral
GACGAACGCUGGCGGCGUGCUUAACACAUGCAAGUCGAGCGGUAAGGCCCUUUCGGGGGUACACGAGCGGCGAACGGGUGAGUAACACGUGGGUGACCUGCCCUCAGCUCUGGGAUAAGCCUGGGAAACCGGGUCUAAUACUGGAUAUGACUCCAUGACGCAUGUUGUGGGGUGGAAAGCCUUGUGCGGCUGAGGAUGGGCCCGCGGCCUAUCAGCUUGUUGGUGGGGUGANGGCCUACCAAGGCGACGACGGGUAGCCGGCCUGAGAGGGCGACCGGCCACACUGGGACUGAGACACGGCCCAGACUCCUACGGGAGGCAGCAGUGGGGAAUCUUGCGCAAUGGGCGAAAGCCUGACGCAGCGACGCCGCGUGAGGGAUGACGGCCUCGGUUGUAA